RNAcentral lists this transfer RNA (84 nucleotides) under Dinophyceae sp. MGD. Its description in RNAcentral is "tRNA-Ser". It matches the Rfam family "tRNA". Rfam says of the family: Transfer RNA (tRNA) molecules are approximately 80 nucleotides in length. Their secondary structure includes four short double-helical elements and three loops (D, anti-codon, and T loops). Further hydrogen bonds mediate the characteristic L-shaped molecular structure. tRNAs have two regions of fundamental functional importance: the anti-codon, which is responsible for specific mRNA codon recognition, and the 3' end, to which the tRNAs corresponding amino acid is attached (by aminoacyl-tRNA synthetases). tRNAs cope with the degeneracy of the genetic code in two manners: having more than one tRNA (with a specific anti-codon) for a particular amino acid; and 'wobble' base-pairing, i.e. permitting non-standard base-pairing at the 3rd anti-codon position. The record is from RNAcentral. Lineage: Eukaryota; Dinophyceae.
GGAAAGGUGACCGAGUGGUUCAAGGUGCUGAUCUGGAACGUCAGUUGUGCACAGCACACGAGGGUUCGAAUCCCUCUCUUUCCG